RNAcentral lists this transfer RNA (80 nucleotides) under Clostridia bacterium. RNAcentral's name for it is "tRNA-Leu". It matches the Rfam family "tRNA". From Rfam's summary of the family: Transfer RNA (tRNA) molecules are approximately 80 nucleotides in length. Their secondary structure includes four short double-helical elements and three loops (D, anti-codon, and T loops). The record is from RNAcentral. Lineage: Bacteria; Bacillati; Bacillota; Clostridia.
GUCCCAGUGGUGAAAUGGUAAACACAUUGGGUUUAAGCCCCAACGCCUUUGGCUUGUAGGUUCGAGUCCUAUCUGGGACA